Molecule: small RNA, 333 nt
Filed under: Xanthomonas massiliensis
Lineage: Bacteria; Pseudomonadati; Pseudomonadota; Gammaproteobacteria; Lysobacterales; Lysobacteraceae
Description: Proteobacterial sRNA sX6
Source: RNAcentral
GAGGAAACGCCAUGAAGACCCGUACCGUGAUCGCCCUGUCCGCCGCCCUGGCCGCGCUCGUCGCGCUGCCCGCGCUGGCCCAGCAGGCGCAGGCCGACAAGGUCCAGGCACAGGGGGCGGCCGCCGCGCCGUCGCCGGAAGCGCAACAGAAGGCCCAGGAAGACGCCAAGGCCAAGCGCCGCGCCCAGGCCGAGGCGCAGAAGAGCCAGGCCAUCAAGAGCGGCAAGCUCGCACGCCACGAGGAAGAGGAAGAAAAACCGGUGCGCUGAGCGAUACAAUCGGCGCUCAUCCAGGGACGCCCCGGCGCAGGCCGGGGCGUCCUGCUUUUUGCGG